CCCUUAGAUGUUCUGGGCUGCACGCGUGUUACAAUCGGGAGUACAACAAGAUUGCAAAUCCUAGUGGAUGAGUGGUUCUUCGAAAUUUUCUGAAGACUGGGAUAGUUGAUUGAAAUUAUUCAACUCAAACGAGGAAUUCCUUGUAAUUGUAAUUCAUUAUAUUGUAAUGAAUACGUCCCUGCCCUUUGUACACACCGCCCGUCGCUCCUACCGAGUGAACGAUCCGGUGAAUUAUUUGGAGUAGCUCUGGAAGUUGCAGAACUUCCUAUGUCACGAAAUUUUGUAAACCUUAUCGUUUAGAGGAAGGAAAAGUCGUAACA
RNAcentral lists this ribosomal RNA (320 nucleotides) under uncultured eukaryote. RNAcentral describes it as "partial 18S ribosomal RNA". It matches the Rfam family "Eukaryotic small subunit ribosomal RNA", at positions 1470 to 1796 of the family's 1831-position model. The record is from RNAcentral.